GGCAGCUUUCCAGUUGCUUCGUUGGCAGGUUACGUAUGUCUUAGAUUUGUGAACAGUGGGUCAAUUAUUUUUCAUCGCACUAAGGAUUUCUUUUCAUAUAUUUUUCUCUUGAAACAACACGCACAAUAAAUCCAUUCAUGGGUUGCUCAUGCUCUGCACAUAUAGCAAUUUGCGGAAAUUGCACCUCGGACGUUGAUACAGGAGGUGAAAACGAGGAAAAAAAACGGCUGUUACCAAAACGAAGGGGUAGCAACUCGAACGAUGGGGCAAUGGACAACACUUCUCAGUCACAAGUACCAACACCAAUUCAAGAAUCAGAAACAAGCCAUGAAAAUACAGGUUUUAAGACUACACAAGAUGAUCCUGGUGAUGCACGGACCCCGGUCCAGGAAACGACCAUGAACAAUUAAAAUUGAAUCGACGGCUACUGGGGUCAUCAUGAAAUGAGUUUAGAUAUUCUUUUUCUUAUUCAUCGUCAUCAUCAUCAUAAAAACAAGGCGUCGUGGGAGUUCAACUGUUAUUCUUUCUGUGGAACCUUCACAACAAACUCUACUGGAUAAGGCAUUGUCCAAAGUAGAUAUCAUUAGGGCAAAUGGGACAGUACAUGUGUUUUGCAACAUUAAAAUAUAUUUAUUUCAUAAUUAAUCCAAAGAGGGAAAUAUACAACAUUUUUGUUUUAUAAUUGGACCAAUUAUAACAAUUAUUGAGAGUGGAAUUAGAUUAACGACAACCCUACCGAAUAGAGGAUUGAAAAAAGUCACCUGAGGAUUUAAUAUGUGUAUAGUACCGCGCGAAGGUGUAAGAUUAGUAUGUACAGAAGUUGACACGUCUUGUGUCGUAUGGUAGGGUCUGUGAAUAUGUGUGUAUAUGUAUGUAAGUAAAAAGCAAAUUGUAUUAUCCAUUGUUAAGUUUAAUUUAUGAGUGUAAUAAUAUAUUAUAAUAAAAAAAGAUUGCCCAUGGCAGAAACCAAUUGGCCAUAUAUGACACCCUUAGCAAAAUGAAAACUGCAGCAAUAUUGCAGCAACGAAUUUGCAGGACUUUGCUAGAAAAUGUAUUUUUGAUAAUUUUCAGUCAUAUUACAGCAAAUUUGCUGCAAAUUUGAAAGAAGGAAUUGCGGUUUACAGCAAUAUUGCAACAAAAUUUGAUAUUUUGCUGAGGACUUGAGUUAUUGAAGGUAGGGCUAGGUUAUCGGUUUAAAAACCUUAUGUUUACAAGCCUUGGGCUCUAUAAUUAAAGGGGCAGGGUGUAUGGAGAUGAUCAUUAUCAGUUUUAAUUAUUAUAUUUAGCUUAAUAUGUCAAAGCGCGCAGAUCUCCUGUGAUAUUUUAAAUCCUAUUUAAUAUGCUCAAUUGUAGGCCUACUUUUUCUUUUGUAUUUUCAUUGUUUACAAAAUGUUCAAAAUGUUCUACAAUUAUCAUUGUCAUAUAUUUUAUUUUCCAUUUACAUAUAUAUAAUGGUUACAAUAUUCCACGAUAGACAAUAGUUCAGCAUGAUACUACACGGAAAUAAAUAACAAAUAAAAUACAUAAGAAUAAAGCGGGUAUAGUAAUACAUGUAGCUACCUGUACAUCGAAAAUUACAAAGACGCAUGACUUUUUCUGGCUUACAGUAACGCUCUUCUGACAAUUAACUCUUACCACCCUGUAAUGCUAGACUUGAAUUUUUUUCCACUCCUACUACGUAGGACCAUGGUCAAAUAAUACGAAUUCGUAUUAUUAUUUUCUUUUACUAGCCUUUUUUGUUAUCGAUUCAAGUUGCAUUGUAAAAUCUACUAAGCAAUUUUGGA
This 1784-nucleotide long non-coding RNA is filed under the name Lingula anatina. Its description in RNAcentral is "uncharacterized LOC106162041". Lineage: Eukaryota; Metazoa; Brachiopoda; Lingulata; Lingulida; Lingulidae. The record is from RNAcentral.